This is a non-coding RNA of Podarcis lilfordi (Lilford's wall lizard), 76 nucleotides long. The record is from the annotation of a GenBank genome assembly. Lineage: Eukaryota; Metazoa; Chordata; Lepidosauria; Squamata; Lacertidae.
UCUGGGAUAGCUCUGUUGGUAGAACAUGAGACUCUUGAUCUCAGAGUUGUGGGUUCAAGCCCCACAUUGGGCAAAA